UGGGGAAUAUUGGACAAUGGGCGCAAGCCUGAUCCAGCCAUGCCGCGUGUGUGAAGAAGGCCUUUUGGUUGUAAAGCACUUUAAGCGAGGAGGAGGCUACUUGGAUUAAUACUCUAGGAUAGUGGACGUUACUCGCAGAAUAAGCACCGGCUAACUCUGUGCCAGCAGCCGCGGUAAUACAGAGGGUGCGAGCGUUAAUCGGAUUUACUGGGCGUAAAGCGUGCGUAGGCGGCUUUUUAAGUCGGAUGUGAAAUCCCUGAGCUUAACUUAGGAAUUGCAUUCGAUACUGGGAAGCUAGAGUAUGGGAGAGGAUGGUAGAAUUCCAGGUGUAGCGGUGAAAUGCGUAGAGAUCUGGAGGAAUACCGAUGGCGAAGUCAGCCAUCUGGCCUAAUACUGACGCUGAGGUACGAAAGCAUGGGGAGCAAACAGG
RNAcentral lists this ribosomal RNA (430 nucleotides) under bacterium. RNAcentral describes it as "partial 16S ribosomal RNA". It matches the Rfam family "Bacterial small subunit ribosomal RNA", at positions 355 to 776 of the family's 1533-position model. The record is from RNAcentral.